AUAUCAAUAAGCGGAGGACGUGCGUCGGGAGCCAACUUGGGAUAACGUCCAUCAAGUUUGGCUACCUGUCUCGAUGGAACCAGCGAGCGAGCAAGCGAGCGAGCGUGUGUCUCACGACCCGUGCGCUAUGCUAUGUUAGCUUUGCAAGCAAGCCAAAGGAACGCGAUCGUGGCCCCGAGACCCGGGAUCAUCGAGCCGCAACACCCUGACGUACCGAUCUCAAAUCAAGUAAGAUUACCCGCUGAACUUAA
Molecule: unclassified non-coding RNA, 251 nt
Filed under: uncultured fungus
Lineage: Eukaryota; Fungi
Description: sequence contains ITS1
Source: RNAcentral